UACAGAGGUCCCGAGCGUUGUUCGGAUUCAUUGGGCGUAAAGGGUGCGUAGGCGGUCGCGCAAGUCGGAUGUGAAAUCUCAGGGCUCAACCCUGAAACUGCAUUCGAUACUGCGUGGCUAGAGUGCUGGAGAGGAGACUGGAAUUUACGGUGUAGCAGUGAAAUGCGUAGAUAUCGUAAGGAAGACCAGUGGCGAAGGCGAGUCUCUGGACAGCAACUGACGCUGAGGCACGAAGGCCAGGGGAGCAAACGGG
This 253-nucleotide ribosomal RNA is filed under the name uncultured bacterium. RNAcentral's name for it is "partial 16S ribosomal RNA". It matches the Rfam family "Bacterial small subunit ribosomal RNA", at positions 524 to 776 of the family's 1533-position model. The record is from RNAcentral.